Molecule: unclassified non-coding RNA, 6296 nt
Filed under: Hevea brasiliensis (rubber tree)
Lineage: Eukaryota; Viridiplantae; Streptophyta; Magnoliopsida; Malpighiales; Euphorbiaceae
Source: RNAcentral
UGCAAAAACAAGAGCAAGACUAAAGAGGAGGAAUGUAGGGACCAAAGGUCUAGAAUAGAAUGGGGAAACGAGCAGAAGCAUAAUUACUUAAGAAGCAUUUAUAGGUAGGGAGCAAUUUAGGCGGACCUGACCUUGAAGUCUUGAAGUCCAGUCAGCACAUCAAGAUUCGACAUUUUCUGCAUAACCUGGAAAAAUCCAUGCGAAAGGUUGAUCCAUCUUCUGAAACAUAUGCAGAAACCAAUCUGGCAGUCUUAUCUUCAGCCAUCAACUGUGCUGAUCAGCAAAAGCAAAUAGGAGUCCUCAAAUUACGUAGGUGAUUACCAAGAAGAUUGAAUCCUCUGAGAGAGAAUGGAUUCAGAGUCUAAUAAGUAAUCCCCGAUUAUAUAUAUAUUUCUCGCGGAGAACGGGGAAUAAUCCGGAAAGGAAAAUCGUUGUCCGGUUCCGGUUUCGGGGAUCUUUUUUGAUUAAUAGACUAGAGGAGGAAAGAAAGUACAAAAUGCUACUAUGACACCCGCCAAAGAUUUUCAUUUCUUACUCAUUCUGAACGAUAGUUCAAAAAAAGGUAUUAAUUCGAACACAAUCCAUGAGCGGCUUUGCAGUACCUUUGAAUGUAAAUCAGUCUUGAUAGCACAAGGAGAAGCAAAGAAAGAAGACACCUUCCAUUAUGAUUUUUUUUGUGGAGUAAAAUGAAAAUCUUUUGAUUCAUCCAAAAGCACCUUCCUAGCAAGAAAGAUCAAAACUUUGUUCGAGGACAUGGAAUGUGACAUUCAAUUCAAAAAAGGGUGGGGACCGAUCUGUAUCUACUUCUUGUCCGUACAGGAUUUUAUAGUUUAUGGUGGUUAUUCAAAAGAAGAGAUAAUAGCGGUGGCACAUGCCACACGACGCCAUAAACGCCAAAACCCACUGAAAAAUCGUAAUUUUAAUAAUAAUAAUCAAUCGUUCGGUUGUAAAAGCAGCUUCGUCCCCAAGAGCGGGAGAUGGUUGAUCAACUGGAAUUGGUUGGUUAAACGAACCGUUUUCGUAGCUCUCAUUUUUCAAGGUAUCGGAUAUCUAUUUGAAACAUUGAUUAAGCCGUACAUCCCCAUAAUCGUUCUAUUUCUAUGUAGUGUCUUUCAUUUCAUAUUUGUUUUUUUAUGGUCCAUAUUCAUUGGGGAAAUAGACGAAACGGCGCCUGGGCCACAACCGUCGCCACAACCGGCGUUAACCCCUAUUGAAAAUAGAUAUUUCGUUUUUCUUAUUUUGUUCAUUCUUUAUAUUCUAGUAGAAAGAUAAGAAUUGAAUUAUGGAAUUCUCUUCUGCGCUCCUAUACGCCCUCUGUGCAGUGACCAGAGGUCCGCCAUCUAACCGAAGCUAUUGCAUUGUUUGCCCGCCUUUCUGAUCUCAUUCGUAUUCUAAUCUUCAGUCUUCUUUCUUACAACUAUCUUUUUGAAGCAGAUAGUUCACAGUGCUUAUUCUAUAGAUACUGUAAAAGCCACCUCAUGUUUCCACUCUAUUUUCAUUACGAAGAUGUAUUACGUCAGGAUCUGUUGCUCAAACUGAAUUACGCCAACGUUAUGGAAGUUCCUGGAUUGUGUGAAAUAAGAGUAGUACCAAAGGCACCUUAUGAUUUCAUAAUCAAAAAUGGAAAAUUGGCUAUGGAGAUUUCAUGCGGUCAGAAAUUCAUACAGACACAAAGGGGUUCGACAGGAAAGUCGUUUCGAUCCAAUCCAUUCUUGGGGUCAAAUAAAGACAAAAAAGGAUAUGUCAGUGACCUAGCACGACAAAGCACUCUCCGAGGGCAUGGAAUGUCUAAUUUUUUGGUCAGAAUCUUGACAGUAAUGUCUCUCUUAGAUUCUCCGGUCGAAAUACGGGAAAACUCCAUUCAAUUCUCGAUGGAAACGGAGUUUUGCGAAUUCUCCCCAGAACUGGAAGAUCAUUUCGAGAUCCUCGAACAUAUUCGAGGGUUCAAUGUGACUAUUGUCACUUCGGCCAACACACAAGAUGAGACUUUACUACUGUGGAGCGGCUUUUUUCAAAAAGAUGAGGGGGAAAGUCAGUAAGAUGUCGGAGAAGCGAAAUAUACGAGAUCACAAACGUAGAUUGCUCGCGGCUAAGACGAAAGCUUUAUAAAGCCUUUUGUAAAGAUCCUCCUAGUGAUAUGCGGGACAAACAUCGUUAUAAGUUGUCCAAGUUGCCAAAAAAGAGUUCCUUUGCACGAGUAAGAAACCGAUGUAUUUUCACGGGUCGCCCUCGUUCCGUAUAUGAGUUCUUUCGAAUUUCUCGUAUCGUUUUUCGUGGAUUAGCAUCUCGAGGUUCUUUGAUGGGCAUAAAGAAAUCGUCUUGGUAGCAACCACCAAACCAAUAGAACAAGGCUUAGCUCUGCAGCUGGUCCAUAAGCAAGGUAAGUAGGUCAAUUACCGGCCGGCUCCGGACCGAAAAGACCUAACGGAGUAAUCCCUUAUCUCGGAUCGGAGAUGCUAACGGGGCUGGGGGACCUCUCUACCGCCCGUGUCUAUCUCCUGUCAAGUAUGCUCCCCAGACAUAGACUACGUACAGGGUGGUAAUCUUGGAAAGAUAGAAUAUCACCGCGUAAACAUAACAUUAAGUUACGAAUGUAACUCCCGAGGGGUCGACCACUAUUCUAAAUAUAGUAAGGCGGAGAACUGUUGUUCAUUGGAGCGCCGGAGUGCGGAGGUUGUUCCCAUCAUUGAAGUCAGAGUGUGGGACUGAGCCCUUCGAAUGAUAAAGAAAAAAAAGUGCUUAGUUUCGUUGGAAAAACCAACGCACAUCAUAUUGACUUUCUCUCGCCCUACUUCUAAAGUAAAGAUAGAUAGAAAGGGUUGGAGAGAAUGACUUUCUGAAAUUCUCUCCUUUCUAAAGCUGCGCAAGGUGGCCCCCCCAGAACAAAACCCCACCCUUUCCCCCUUUAAUGAAAGACCCUCGCCCCGCUUCCUAUUCAUUUGUGGGUCGGGACCCGAGGGCCUUUUUUUUUCUCAACAGGUGAUUUCAAGAAUCAACCAACCGAAAAAUCCGUAGCCCAGGUGACUCACAGCCUCCCUCUCGCCUAAAUGAAAUGGGAUGAAUCAAAUCAAUAAGCUUUUUGAUUGAUUCAGGGCGCAGCGAAGCCAAAUUCAAUCAAGGCAAGGGGGGCUUACUUUUCCUGACACUGAGUCAUCCUAUUCAAAUUUAGCUAUGCUAAUGGAACAGGAAAAGUUUUCAGAUGAUAUGGACCCCAAGAGAUGAUCGAGAACCUCCAAUUGCUUAGGGGUCGCACUCUGUCCCGCUUGGUGGACGAAAUCUUCUCUCCUUUUAGUUUUCUUUCUCCCACACGCCUUUGCCCUCUUUCACCGAAGAGGAAAGAAAAUCUUCCAAGCGGACAGAGACCUAAAUUUCCAUUAGAUUCAUUCCUAAGCUUGCUUUGUUCCAGCAAGAUGAUCAGUCCGAGAGGGCUGGAGAGAAAGCGGUAAAAACCUCUCUGAUUCGGUCACCGAGCAGUCGGACGACUUUUCAGUAAGCCAGGAUGACCCCUUCGACGCUUCUUUCGCUGUAUACCCCCUCCAUCCUUCGGAGGUGGAAGAAAGGGUACUAUAUAUAUUAUAUAUAUAUAGUCAGUAGGGCCCCAGAACGCUAAAUAAAAAGGUGGGGGAACAAGAGUUGUCACGAUAGGAAAGAGAAAUGACUAUAAGGAACCAACGAUUCUCUCUUCUUAAACAACCUAUAUCCUCCACACUUAAUCAGCAUUUGAUAGAUUAUCCAACCCCGAGCAAUCUUAGUUAUUGGUGGGGGUUCGGUUCGUUAGCUGGUAUUUGUUUAGUCAUUCAGAUAGUGACUGGCGUUUUUUUAGCUAUGCAUUACACACCUCAUGUGGAUCUAGCUUUCAACAGCGUAGAACACAUUAUGAGAGAUGUUGAAGGGGGCUGGUUGCUCCGUUAUAUGCAUGCUAAUGGGGCAAGUAUGUUUUUCAUUGUGGUUUACCUUCAUAUUUUUCGCGGUCUAUAUUAUGCGAGUUAUAGCAGUCCUAGGGAAUUUGUUUGGUGUCUCGGAGUUGUAAUAUUCCUAUUAAUGAUUGUGACAGCUUUUAUAGGAUACGUACUACCUUGGGGUCAGAUGAGCUUUUGGGGAGCUACAGUAAUUACAAGCUUAGCUAGCGCCAUACCUGUAGUAGGAGAUACCAUAGUGACUUGGCUUUGGGGUGGUUUCUCCGUGGACAAUGCCACCUUAAAUCGUUUUUUUAGUCUUCAUUAUUUACUCCCCUUUAUUUUAGUAGGCGCCAGUCUUCUUCAUCUGGCUGCAUUGCAUCAAUAUGGAUCAAAUAAUCCAUUGGGUGUACAUUCAGAGAUGGAUAAAAUUGCUUUUUACCCUUAUUUUUAUGUAAAGGAUCUAGUAGGUUGGGUAGCUUUUGCUAUCUUUUUUUUCCAUUUGGAUUUUUUAUGCUCCUAAUGUUUUGGGGCAUCCCGACAAUUAUAUACCUGCUAAUCCGAUGUCCACCCCGCCUCAUAUUGUGCCGGAAUGGUAUUUCCUACCGAUCUAUGCCAUUCUUCGUAGUAUACCUGACAAAUCGGGAGGUGUAGCCGCAAUAGCACUAGUUUUUAUAUGUCUGUUAGCUUUACCUUUUUUUAAAAGUAUGUAUGUGCGUAGUUCAAGUUUUCGCCCGAUUUACCAAGGAAUCUUUUGGUUGCUUUUGGCGGAUUGCUUACUACUAGGUUGGAUCGGAUGUCAACCUGUGGAGGCACCAUUUGUUACUAUUGGACAAAUUUCUUCUUUUGUUUUCUUCUUGUUCUUUGCCAUAACGCCCAUUCUGGGACGAGUUGGAAAAGGAAUUCCUAAUUCUUACACGGAUGAGACUGAUCACACCUGAUCAGUGAAAAAUUCUGACACCAAUCAUUUACAAGUGAGUAUUACACCAAGAAUUGACAAGCGGAUGAGUUUUCUAGUUGGCUAUGUUGAUAUAGCUUAGAUAGGGAAAAGAUACUCCUUUUCGUAUGCUCGGCAGGUAAGUUUAGUACUAGCGCAUCAGAAAGAUAGGCCAGGAUGCUACGGUAGGACGCAAGGGGUUUGGCAUAUAGUCUCCGUGGAUUUGACAAAUGUUGCAGCGUUUAACAUAGUCCAUACAAUUCUGGACCAUUGUAGGCCAGUAGUACCCUAUCUGUUUGAGCUUAACUCGCAUCUUUGGCCCAGACCGGUGGGCACCACACACCCCUGAAUGUACUUCGUACAUGGCUUGCCUUGCUUCAUCACUAGACAAACAUCUCAGCCACAGCAUAAGACUUUUUGUAUAAAGUUUCGUUUAAAUACACAUACUGGGGCAACCUCCUUCGAAGCUGGGUUCCUUUGUGGCUUUCUUCUGGCCAUCUGCCGUGCUUAAAGUAGUUAAUAAAAUAAUGUCUCCAAUCUUCAAUAGAUACUUCCAUGCAGGGAGCCAUUUCCACUAUGGUGACAGCGUUGCAAUCCUGGAGUUGUUCUUUCCGGCCUGGAAAAAGGACCCUGUCAUGUAUAAUGACUUAUGUUCUGCCACCAGGGGGGCUGCUAGAGCGGCUACUAACUUGGCGAAUGCGUCUGCUUUGUCGUUCUUUUUCUUUUGUACGUGGCAGAAUUCGAGUAGCUCGAACUCUUUCAUGAGCUCCAUAGCCAUGGCGUGGUAGGGCAACAAUUCUGGUUUGCAUACUUCAAAUGUACCCUAGAGUUGGCGAAUGAUUAACUGCGAAUUCCCAUAGGAUCAUGAGGACCUUUAUACCAAUUUGGUUGACUACCAGGAGGCCGGCAAUGAGCGCUUCGUACUCAGCUUCAUUGUUUGAACAGCCUUUCAGUAAGGCAAAGGAGAAAUGUAUAACGAUAUUAUUAUAGAAGAAAGAAAGAAUCCAUCUCUACGCAGAAAGAUCUAUGCUAGGAUGACAGCGCUAUCCUGAUGAAGCCGUAUGACACCUUUUCUUUAUUUAAUCGAAAUUGGCUUGGUCUUAUUUGAGCCGAGGGUGGAGUGCUUAAUAAGUAAGUCCAGUAUGCCAGAACCAGUAAUAUGGCAAGCAAGAGCUAAUGUUUUGCUUGCCAUAUAAUAUAUAUAAGCAGAGGAAGCAGCUUAGCCUUUCCUUUCAGUAAAUGAAGAAGCUUUUAAGCUAAGCUAUUUACGGAACAAAAUGAAAGUCAAUAAAGUCAAUACCAGUGCCAUCCUACUCUGAUAGUAAGAGAGGAAGCCCUUAAGGACUAUCCAUAAACGCCGGUGGAACCCUCCUCACUUUCUCCCAUGUUUUUGUUGGUCAACAACCAACCACAGCUCUCGUUUUCUUCUUCACUACUCGUACAGGCUUGACGGAGUUAAGCUG